This 454-nucleotide long non-coding RNA is filed under the name Trifolium pratense (red clover). RNAcentral describes it as "long non-coding RNA (TPRA_LNC003619)". The record is from RNAcentral. Lineage: Eukaryota; Viridiplantae; Streptophyta; Magnoliopsida; Fabales; Fabaceae.
CCUUACAUUUUUUCUCAUAAAUUAAAAUGGUUAGUCACAUAUCAAUCAAUAAUCAUAAAUAACACCUAAAAAUUAUGGGAUGGAAUAUCAAUAUAAGUGAAUUAUUAGGUUUUUUUUUGUAACCUGUAAAUUAUUAGGUUUUUUUUACACAGUGAAUUAUUAGGUUUAAAAGAACCAAACAUAGGAAUACAUGAUUAAUUAAUUAUUUGAUUGAUUAAUUAGACAACUGCACUUUACAUAAAGUCUAUGAUAGUGUCUUAAAAUGGAAAAAGUAAGUCAAGUAUUUAGAAACUAACACUAAUAAGUAACACCCUCCUAUUUUCCUAAGUCGUAGUACUCAAACAAAACAAAAGAUGAUGGGUCAAACAUACAAAACAAUGGACCCAUCAAAUCACGUUUUUAGUCACAAUAAUAAUGUCUUAAACCUCUCACUUUGCAUCACAUGAUUCCAAAN